UACGUAGGGUGCUAGCGUUGUCCGGAAUCAUUGGGCGUAAAGCGCGUGUAGGCGGUUCGGUAAGUCCGCUGUGAAAGUCGGGGGCUCAACCCUCGAAUGCCGGUGGAUACUGUCGGACUAGAGUACGGAAGAGGCGAGUGGAAUUCCUGGUGUAGCGGUGAAAUGCGCAGAUAUCAGGAGGAACACCAAUUGCGAAGGCAGCUCGCUGGGACGUUACUGACGCUGAGACGCGAAAGCGUGGGGAGCAAACAGG
RNAcentral lists this ribosomal RNA (253 nucleotides) under uncultured bacterium. RNAcentral describes it as "partial 16S ribosomal RNA". It matches the Rfam family "Bacterial small subunit ribosomal RNA", at positions 524 to 776 of the family's 1533-position model. The record is from RNAcentral.